AACGCACGAGACCUGCGGACCUGCGGAGGGAUCAUUACCGAGUUUACAACUCCCAAAACCCCUGUGAACCUAUACCAUUACUGUUGCUUCGGCGGGUCAUUGCCCCGGGGAAAGGACGAGGUGCCGCCUAGGCUCCCCGGCCCGCCCCCGGAAACAGGCGCCUGCCGGGGGAAUCAAACUCUUCUGUAUUUUUUACUUUUACUGUUAUACUGUCUGAGUACAAAACUAUAAAUGAAUCAA
RNAcentral lists this unclassified non-coding RNA (240 nucleotides) under soil metagenome. Its description in RNAcentral is "partial contains 5.8S ribosomal RNA, internal transcribed spacer 2, and large subunit ribosomal RNA". The record is from RNAcentral.